CCUACGGGAGGCAGCAGUGGGGAAUUUUGGACAAUGGGCGCAAGCCUGAUCCAGCAAUGCCGCGUGAGUGAAGAAGGCCUUCGGGUUGUAAAGCUCUUUUGUCAGGGAAGAAACGGUGGGGGCUAAUAUCUCCUACUAAUGACGGUACCUGAAGAAUAAGCACCGGCUAACUACGUGCCAGCAGCCGCGGUAAUACGUAGGGUGCAAGCGUUAAUCGGAAUUACUGGGCGUAAAGCGUGCGCAGGCGGUUUUGUAAGUCUGUCGUGAAAGCCCCGGGCUCAACCUGGGAAUUGCGAUGGAGACUGCAAGGCUUGAAUCUGGCAGAGGGGGGUAGAAUUCCACGUGUAGCAGUGAAAUGCGUAGAGAUGUGGAGGAACACCGAUGGCGAGGGCAGCCCCCUGGGUCAAGAUUGACGCUCAUGCACGAAAGCGUGGGGAGCAAACAGGAUUAGAUACCCUGGUAGUCCACGCCCUAAACGAUGUCUACUAGUUGUCGGGUUUUAAUUAACUUGGUAACGCAGCUAACGCGUGAAGUAGACCGCCUGGGGAGUACGGUCGCAAGNUUAAAACUCAAAGGAAUUGACGGCUGAGACGNGCGAGACGACGACGAGGGAGAGG
Molecule: ribosomal RNA, 617 nt
Filed under: uncultured bacterium
Lineage: Bacteria
Description: bacterial SSU rRNA
Rfam family: Bacterial small subunit ribosomal RNA
Source: RNAcentral